AGAGCCCUUGCGUGCGUGCACACGCACAUGUGUCCAGGUGCCUACGCAGGUGCUUGACCCUGGGCAAGUCGCUCCGUCAUGCGAACCUCAGUUUUCUCAUCUGUCCGACGAAGCAUGAUUUUUCGGUUGGACUGCAUCAGCUCCUUCCUUUUCUCCACCAGGACAGUAGGGAUCUACAGCCCAAGAACCAAAGACUUAGGACAUUUUGCUCUACUUGGGAAGUUUGUAAUGUUAUCUUCUGCUGUGGAGCAGAGUGCAAAGAAAUAGGGGGAGGAAAGGUGGGUUUCUUCAGUCUCCACCCCAAAGACCAAAGAGACUUGCUUCCCUGAGGGUUGCCUCUGCAUUGCAAGUUUAUUCCGACCCUUCACUACACAGAUGGACAACUCAGGUGGCCAGAGGACUUCAACUGAAUGGAAUUACACAAUGAUUUGUUGAACAUUUAUUGUGCACCAGGGAGUAUGUGAGGCUAUGUGGUAGGCAUGAGAUGAACAAUGGAAGAUUCUUGCCCCAUGGAAGGUGACCACUGGAAUUAGAAAUCCUAGCAUCACCUAAGGAAAGGCUCAGAUCUUCCCUGGUGGAGGUUGGGGAUCUUCCCAAAGGGACGUUUUGGAUCCAGAGGGCUUGUAUCAUUGCCUCUUGGCAGAGGUUUAGAGACUCCCUUCAUCAUGAAGUUUCACAGACUCCUUCAGCCUUUAUCUUUUCUGAGUUCUAUGGGGAAAAGCUAGGUUAGAUAUGUAGAGUGACUCACUGGGACCUGAGAAGGCAUCUGCGUGAGGCUGCGGGGGUCUCCUUAGAGAAAAGGGAAGCUGCAGUGUGGAGGCUGCGGGAUGCACAAGAUGAUCUCCAGAGUCUCUCAGCCUUCAGAAGUGCAGGCCCUCUGAGGCUACAUUCCUUCCUGGUCUGGCUCAGUGGAGGCUGUGUUUCCCCACUGUUGCUUUUUCCAUGGAUUUGUUCAGCAGUUGAAUGGGCAGAGAAGGAGGAGCCUCUCCUUUCCUGUUCUCACACAGCUCUGCUUCAUGGAGACCCACCCAGAUUCACUGGAGAGCAAAGCCUACCAGAGCCCCUGUCAGCAGCACUGUUUCUAGAAGCUUCCACACGAGAGGACAGCAUGGAGUCCUGGGGGCUGAUGAAGCAGCAAUGUCAGCACGAGCACAGGCAGGGAGAGGAAAGAGGAGUAGAGUGAAGGGGAAUGUUCUCUUCAUUCUUCCACCUGCGUGUGCCCCAGCCAACACAUCCCUUCCGUUCCCUGCAAGGCCAUUUCCAGGGAGGCUUAUGAAGACAGCAGAUGAUGGGGAUGGUGAUAGAAGGAGUCUGGAUGCUGAGCCAUGGACCUGGAGAGAAACUGAGUCUGAGGAAUGUCAACAUGCCAAGUCCAUGAAAUAUUAGUGGGCUGGAAUUCUAGCUGCCUGAAAAAAGACAUUCCUCACAAAAGACCUCACAAUCAUAUCCAUGGAAUUAUAGCACUGGGCUCUCCAGAUGGUGCUACAGGAAGACCUCCAGAAAUUUGACAAUCCUCUAUUCAAGGCCCUACCACAGAGACACACAGGAACGGAACUCAGAAUCACAAACAAAGAAACUUUGAUCCAAGAAAGAAAAUGAUCUUUAAAAAGACCCUCGUUUCAUGCUGGCCAAUGCUGAGAAAAUCUGCUCUGGAGGAUAUUUGGAGACGCUGAUUAAAAGAUGGUUGUCCCAGUGGAGGGGGAUUCUUAGUGUUACGUAGAUAGCAAGCACGAUGCAAAAGUGUUGAAGCAGGAGUGUAAAGAAUAAUUAAAACACCUGCCCAAGACCCAAGCAAGGAUAGGAUUUCCCAGACAUUCCCGAGGGAGAAAAUGCCAUGUCCUUUCCUUCUGGUGUCACAUCAGAAUCUGAAGGCUGCUAGAGAAGGGAGAGAAACAUGAAAGUGAGUCCCAUGCUGAUUGUUGUUGAAAUACCUAGAAAGAAACUGGCAAAGACUAUCCAAGGGAUGCUAAGACAUGUCCGAACUUAUAAAACAGUAGAACCUGAAUAGGAAUUUGAAGUUGUCUAUACUCUCCUCAGCCACACCCUGCCAUUUUACAGAUUGUCUUCUCUGGGGAAGUUAGCUGUCAUGUUGUGGGGAUACUCAAGCAGUUUAUAAAGAGGUUCAUGUCGCAAGGAAUGGAGGCCUCCUGUCAACAGCCAUGUAAAGGAACCAUCUAGGAAACAGAUUCUCCAGCCCCAGUCAGACCUUCAGAUGAUUACAGCCCCUACCAACCUUCUGACUGCGGUGGAAGGAAAGUUCCUGAACGAGAACCACCCAGGUUAAUAUGGGUAAGUCUCAUCCAAUCCUUUGAAGGCCUGAAGAACAAAGAGUGAGGUUUCUGGAAGAAGAAAAUUUUACCUCAAGCCUGCAAUGUAGAAAUUCCGCUUGAGUUUCAUGCCUGCUGGCCUGCCCUGUGGAAUUCGGAGUCAAGAAGGAGUCUUGUAAGCAUUAACUGAGAUAGUAUAUGAAGAGUGCUUUUGCACCGAGUGAACCCUCAAUCAACUGUACUAGUUUGUAUGCCUGGAAGAGCUGCUAUAUAGGAUCAGAAAGAAAAAUAAGGUGCAUACCCC
Molecule: small RNA, 2571 nt
Filed under: Pongo abelii (Sumatran orangutan)
Lineage: Eukaryota; Metazoa; Chordata; Mammalia; Primates; Hominidae
Description: processed transcript
Source: RNAcentral